Zingiber officinale is the source of this 1031-nucleotide RNA transcript. It is a transcript of the gene named lysophospholipid acyltransferase LPEAT1-like, with no coding region annotated. The record is from RefSeq and is a predicted model, not a curated record. The transcript is spliced from 5 exons. Lineage: Eukaryota; Viridiplantae; Streptophyta; Magnoliopsida; Zingiberales; Zingiberaceae.
AAAAAAACCUAACUUUUUAACUCACCCGUUCCUUUCCCCUUUGCCCUAAUUUGCCUUGGCAGCGGCGGCGCGUGGUGAUUCCCGUCCUCUUCAUACCUCUCUUCCUUCUCCGACGGGUCUUCCGGCACUCGUCCACCGGCGUCUGGCUCUCUCCUGUCGCAGGAGGUCGUUGCUGGCACUGGCCGGCCGCGGGAGCCCGCGCUUGGCGCUAGCAGGUCGCACCUGCCGCUGGCCGGCCGCGGGAGGUCGCGCCUGGCUCUGGCCGACCUCGGGAGGCCGCCCCUGGAGCUGGCCGGCCGCCGGAGGCCGCGCCUAGCUCUCGGCAGGCGCGAGACGCCUACGGUGUAAUGGGCCUCGGGCAGCUUCCUGCGACGUCGAAGGUCAAGUUAGGGAUCGCGCGCGGUGACGCUGGUGCCGAUUCACAUGGUUGCAGGGGUGUUGAUACUCGUGCUUUAAUACCUUAUCUUCCGGAUCUGCACGCUGUUCUCACCUCCGAGUCGGGAGAAUGGCCAGGAGGACUAUGCUCACAUGACGGGGUGGAGGAGGGCGGUGGUUGUGCGGUGCGGGAGAUUUGCCUCUAGAGCAAUGCUCUUUACGUUUGGUUUCUAUUGGAUUAAAGAGAGUCACAUGAGUCUCGACAAUGAGGUCAAUGAAUUUGAAAAGCCAUAUGCAGUUGUCUCAAAUCACAUUUCUUAUGUGGAUAUUCUUUAUCAUAUGUCGUUAGCCUUUCCAAGUUUGUUGCAAAGAGAUCAGUAGCUCAGCUUCCCUUGGUUGGUCUCAUCAGGAUUGGUGCAAUGAAAAUCAAUGUCGGAGAAAAAAGAAUAUUCGAAGAAGAUGGAGAAGAUUUAGUGAUGCUUGGAUAUUUGUUGAUGUAUGGAUGGUUUAAAACUUCUUAUGAUGUUUGGAUUGUAUGGAUAUUAGGCCUUUUUGAUGUAUGAAAUGUUUUGGAUUGUAUGGAUAUUAGAUGAUGUAUGCAUUUUGAUGUAUGAAAUGUUUGGAUUUUAUGGAUAUUUUGUGAUGUUUGGAUUUGA